AAGCCUUUUUGAAAUCGGACAACGUGGUUCGAUUCAGGAGAGGUGUAUCUAUAAAACGAUAUAAUUUGAAAUCUUUUUUUUUUUUUUUAUUAUUAAAUUUUGUUAUGCUAAUGGCGAUAUGAUUUUUCGCUGGAUGUCCGUCCCGUAUACGGGUUAAGAAAACAAAAUAAUCUCAAAUAUCGUUAUAUUAUCAAGUUGAUGGGACAGUCAUAUUGCCCAGCACCUACGUAAAGUUGAGUGACUCACUCAUUCAUGGCUUUGGAUCAAAAUAAAUAAGUACCAACAUUCGUUUUGAUAGUUUUUAAUAAAGAAAUGUUUUGGUUAUCCUGACCUGGACACCAUGUACAGUAUUAUAAUAGCCCAUUAUGGGCUAUUAGCAGGACAAUAUACCUUUACCAACACCUCUCUGUAUUUUGAUACUUUGUGCUUCAAAUCCUGUCGCUUAUAACGUCAAUAUGAUCUUUAAAUAAGACCUACACCACUUAACAAAUUACUCAACACUAGUGAGAUUCAUGUCACCUACGGUAGGCCUACAGUAUAUAAAAACAUAUGACGUGACUCAAAUUACAUAUAGAGGAUUUGAGGAUUCUAAAUGAUAUCCAAAAUCCACCUAAUGGGUCUCCCGGCAUGGGUAUUGCACCUGCAACUGUAAAAUGCAUUGCUACAGAUGCAGCUUCAAUACCUGUGCCAGCCGCCACCGGGAGAUCCACGGCUUUUGGUUUUAAUUUAGAAUCCUCCAAUCCUUUAUGUAAUUAUUGGCGGAGAGUCAUGUCAUAUUUUUCAAUAAAUAGCCAAGUACUGUAGCCUACUCCCGACUGUCACGUUGUACAGCGCCAUAUUUUCCAUUCCAUCCUAACAGAAAUCCAGUUCGUUUUUCUUGGAAUAGAAACACUGUAAUAUAAAGCAAAUGAAUUAUGUAAAAUUUCUUCAUCAGUCCCAUAUAUUAUGUUCAUACAAAAAAAAGGUUUUAAAUUCUCUAGUACAACCACUAUUGAAGGCUAUCAAAUGCUUCUCAAAGAUGCCCUCUGCUGGUCUAACUAGCAUUAAUGGUAGUUAAAUAACUUAAAUAACGUGCCAUAGAAGUCUGCGGCACCACGCAAGCUGUGCUGCAGUACGCUGCAACUUUUAAAGGUUCCUCCUUUAAAAGUUGUCAUACUGCGACAGACCCUGUGUGGCACGUAAUUUAAUUCUCAGCCAUUUCUUCUGUUAUUGUUACUUUGACCACCAGAGAGCAUCUAUGAGAAGCAUUUGGUAGUAUUCCGUAUUGGCAUCGGCAGAGAAUUUAAAACCUUUUUUGUAAUAACAUAGUUAUAUGGGAUUUUUUGACCCGCUUUUUUCUCCCCAAUUGAAUUUUUAGUUACUGUAUUGUCUCAUCUCUGCAACUCCUGUACAGACUCGGGAGAGACAAAGGUCAAGAGCGUCCUCCAAAACACAACCCAACCAAGCCACACUGCUCCUUGACAUUGCCCAUCCAAUCCAUAAGCACCAAUGUGUCAGAGGAAACACCUGGCAACCUGAUCAGCGUGCACUGCACCCAGCCCACCACAGGAGUCGCUGUACAUGCACAAUGAGACAAGGAUAUCCCUGCCAGCCAAACCCGGAUGAUGCUGGGCCAAUUGUGCACCGCACCAUGGGCCUCCCGGUCAGCUGCAACAGAGCCUGGACUCGAACCCAGAACCUCUGGUGGCACAGCUAGCACUGGGAUGCAGUGCCUUAGACCACUGCGCCACCCAGGAGGCUUAUAUGGGAUUGAUUUUAAGAAAUUUGGCUUCAUUUGAUAUUAUUUUGUUUCAAUUCAGAGAAAUUGUCAGUUUGUAAAUUCAGAACGUUUUGCUCUCGGAGCGCACUCUGGACGUUCGGGCCGAGGAGUAGGGUUGAUUUUGAGCGUUCUGGUCUUAGCUUGCAUGCUUUACUGCCGUUGUAACGUUGACUAGCUACUUCCAGACACAAAUGAGACCACUCUGACCAUUUUACUCACCCUAGCAGAGCUGGUAAGGCAGUUUUUGUGUUAACCAGAGCGUUGGUGACUGAAUGUGCUGCUGGAAACAAUUUAAUUAUGCUUUUUUUUCUGAUGUUUAUUGACACUGGCCAUAUUCAAUGGGUGUUGAGCGCUCGUAAAGUAAUUAUUCUGUGUUCUGGUACACUCAGAUGACAGUGAUCUGAAAUCCUUGUAGAUGGUAGGCUGGACACAUUACAUGUUUAACAACGUUCUUUUCUGAUAAAACUAGUUAAACAACAUUCUUAAGCUGUUUUUCAGCCUUGGGUGAAUUUUGACUUGUUCUAUUGUCCAGCCUAUAGAUAGCCAGAGCAAAUUUACAAAAGCACUCAAAUGUCCAUUGAGAAAGCACAACGACUAUACAAUUUAGCUAAGCUAAGAAUGACAAGAAUAAUAAAGUCAAUAAACAUUGUAUAGUUAGCCUAUAGUUGGUGUACUGGCAAGUUUGAUGUAUAACUACUAAUGUUAGGUAGCUAGCUAACAUAUCGGUACAUACUGCUGUAAUGAUGUGUCGGGUUCACCUUGGGGUCAUGAUAGGGGCUGUACCAAAUGUUUGAUGUAUUAUAAUAAUUGAUUAUGCUUAUGUUGUAUUAAUAGAAGGGGAGGGGUUCUAAGACCCCUCCCUCCUUACAUGUAUAGGGUCCUAGACUACAGAUUAACAAUAUAUAUUUUCAUUAAUGUUUAAGAUUUUUCUAGUCUCUGCCUCUUAUAAAGAAACGGUCUGAGAGAUGUGACUGUGAGACAGAACUCUGCAGGGGAGUGAAAGAGAUAAGAGACUAGUCAGACAUUCCACUAUAAAUCAACUUGGGAGUGGACAUUUACUGCUGAGCCUUUAGAUAACACUGAAACUCUUGUUUGUAUAGCUGUGUAUGCAUGGGCUUGGUCUCAUGAGUAGAAGGUAAUGACGUAGGCAGUGACAUCACUAAAGCUGGACUUCGGCCUUAAUAAAAUAACUUGGACGCUUUACUAUUUUGCAGAAUUUACUCGGAAACAUGCGUGCUAUGUUCCUGUUGUCAACUUCUGUCUGCAAUUGCAUUAAUAAAUGAAUGAUUGAUUUACUUAAAGAUAUUGUCUGAAUGCUAAUUUCACCAAUGAGCCACUGAUUGACAAGGAACGAACCGCAACAUAUGCUAUGUGGUUCGUAAGGACAGCAUAGUAAACAAAUUGUCAGCCAACAUAACGUGUAAGGUAAUUUAUUUGAAAAGUCAUUACUUUAUUACAUUGAGUAGCAAAUCUGGUCUGUGAUAGGAGUUUUUUUUCAUUCCUAGCUCGGCUAUUAGACUAUUCAACCUUUACUAAAGAAUAGUCUAUUGUUCAGCUAUAUGCCCUCCUCUUGCAACAAAUUGCUGUUCCCAUCUCAUUCCUUUCCCUCUUCCACAUGUCAUCAUUCUGCUCCUGAGUGGCUCUCUUGUGGGCUUGCUGGCAGGAUAUGGCAGCAUCUUCGGUUGUGCGUCAAGAAUUCUGCAUACAGUAGCACGUUUGUAUGAAGAAAGUCAAAGCGGACACAUACAAAGAUGGCAUCUUAGAGAGCGAGCUGACCGAAUGUAGAUAUUGCCAGAUAUUCACUGUCCGAGGAACAGGCUGUGGAAACUUUAUAUUGCUGGAAAAAGUGUCCAUAACCCGAGGUUAUAUCAGUUGUUUUGGUGAACCCUUCCCACAUCUGAACUGGCUGACACAGAGGGCACAGCAUGAUCAUAGGUACGUUUUGAUGUGAGAGGAAGCCAGUCCCGUCAUCGCCAUCUCACCUGCUCUUAAGAACCUUCGGGCCAACUGGGCGCACAAGGCUGGUUAGGAGACACCACAAUUGUGAUGAACUGAGAGAAUAUUAGGGUAGCACUGUAAUUCAUGAAUCAUAUGCUGUCUGCCGCUGUUCUUACCUCUUUCCCUUUCUGUCUUCUACACCUCUCUCCCCACCUCAUCUUUCUUCCUUGUUUUAUAAUGCACACCAUAUGUGCAUUGAAGUACAGAUUGAACUUGUAUUUAUAAUAUUAUAAUUAUAAUGCAUUUAUGUAUUUAUAACACCUGGAUAAUGAAC
RNAcentral lists this long non-coding RNA (4031 nucleotides) under Salmo salar (Atlantic salmon). RNAcentral describes it as "lncRNA (ENSSSAG00000088054.1)". Lineage: Eukaryota; Metazoa; Chordata; Actinopteri; Salmoniformes; Salmonidae. The record is from RNAcentral.